GAUGAACGCUGGCGGCGUGCCUAAUACAUGCAAGUCGAGCGAACAGACGAGGAGCUUGCUCCUCUGACGUUAGCGGCGGACGGGUGAGUAACACGUGGAUAACCUACCUAUAAGACUGGGAUAACUUCGGGAAACCGGAGCUAAUACCGGAUAAUAUAUUGAACCGCAUGGUUCAAUAGUGAAAGACGGUUUUGCUGUCACUUAUAGAUGGAUCCGCGCCGCAUUAGCUAGUUGGUAAGGUAACGGCUUACCAAGGCAACGAUGCGUAGCCGACCUGAGAGGGUGAUCGGCCACACUGGAACUGAGACACGGUCCAGACUCCUACGGGAGGCAGCAGUAGGGAAUCUUCCGCAAUGGGCGAAAGCCUGACGGAGCAACGCCGCGUGAGUGAUGAAGGUCUUCGGAUCGUAAAACUCUUUUAUUAGGGAAGAACAAAUGUGGAAGUAACUAUGCACGUCUUGACGGUACCUAAUCAGAAAGCCACGGCUAACUACGUG
This 497-nucleotide ribosomal RNA is filed under the name uncultured bacterium. RNAcentral describes it as "partial 16S ribosomal RNA". It matches the Rfam family "Bacterial small subunit ribosomal RNA", at positions 28 to 507 of the family's 1533-position model. The record is from RNAcentral.